Molecule: ribosomal RNA, 465 nt
Filed under: uncultured Klebsiella sp.
Lineage: Bacteria; Pseudomonadati; Pseudomonadota; Gammaproteobacteria; Enterobacterales; Enterobacteriaceae
Description: bacterial SSU rRNA
Rfam family: Bacterial small subunit ribosomal RNA
Source: RNAcentral
CCUACGGGAGGCUGCAGUGGGGAAUAUUGCACAAUGGGCGCAAGCCUGAUGCAGCCAUGCCGCGUGUGUGAAGAAGGCCUUCGGGUUGUAAAGCACUUUCAGCGGGGAGGAAGGCGGUGAGGUUAAUAACCUCAUCGAUUGACGUUACCCGCAGAAGAAGCACCGGCUAACUCCGUGCCAGCAGCCGCGGUAAUACGGAGGGUGCAAGCGUUAAUCGGAAUUACUGGGCGUAAAGCGCACGCAGGCGGUCUGUCAAGUCGGAUGUGAAAUCCCCGGGCUCAACCUGGGAACUGCAUUCGAAACUGGCAGGCUAGAGUCUUGUAGAGGGGGGUAGAAUUCCAGGUGUAGCGGUGAAAUGCGUAGAAAUCUGGAGGAAUACCGGUGGCGAAGGCGGCCCCCUGGACAAAGACUGACGCUCAGGUGCGAAAGCGUGGGGAGCAAACAGGAUUAGAUACCCGAGUAGUC